Molecule: long non-coding RNA, 743 nt
Filed under: Malus domestica (apple)
Lineage: Eukaryota; Viridiplantae; Streptophyta; Magnoliopsida; Rosales; Rosaceae
Description: long non-coding RNA (MDOM_LNC015494)
Source: RNAcentral
GGCCUCGCAAGCCAAAUAUUAUCCAGUUUGUUAUGCAGUUUCUACCUUCCAGCACAAUUGAUCUAUUUCUUUAUUCUCAAUGAAGAUUCAAGAAGUUACUCAUAAGCUUGGCUCAACUGCUGUCCACAACAACUGCUCAAAACCUUUUCUAGGUUUGCUCUCCAAUGUGAGAGGAUAAACUAAUUGCUCUCCAGUGCAAAUGGGUAAACCAAUUCCCCGACACCCAUAUGGGUUUGCUUUCCAGUGUGAGAGAAUAAAUUAAUUGCUCUCCAGUGCGAGAGGGUAAACCAAUUCCCUGACACCCAUAUGGCUCUGCUCUCCAGUGCAAGAGGGUAAACUAAUUCCCCAAAACCCAUAUGGGUUUGCUCUCCAGUACGAGAGGAUAAACUAAUUGCUCUUUAGUGCGAGAGGGUAAAAUAAUUCCUUGACACCCAUAUGGGUUUGCUCUCCAGUGAGAAAGGAUAAACUAAUUGCUCUCCAGUGUGAGAAGGUAAACUAAUUGCUUUUUAGUGUGAUAAGGUAAACUAAUUCUCUGACACCCAUCUGGGUAAAGCUCUCCAGUGCAAGAAAGCCACAUAGCUCAAAAGAUCGAAUGCUUGAAGAUCAACUAGGCAGCAAAUGGUCAGGGGGUAGCAUCCAUUUUUGCACUCAAUAGUUCGUUCAUCUGACACUUUAUCUUUAGCAACUCCGAUCUUGGCAGCUUCAUCCUUGGCUACUCCAUCUACGACAGCUGAGAAAUCAAA